RNAcentral lists this ribosomal RNA (290 nucleotides) under uncultured bacterium. Its description in RNAcentral is "partial 16S ribosomal RNA". It matches the Rfam family "Bacterial small subunit ribosomal RNA", at positions 775 to 1067 of the family's 1533-position model. The record is from RNAcentral.
GGAUUAGAUACCCUGGUAGUCCACGCCCUAAACGUUGAAUACUCGGUCUUGGCGAUACACAGUCAGGGCCCAAGCGAAAGCGUUAAGUAUUCCACCUGGGAAGUACGUUCGCAAGAAUGAAACUCAAAGAAAUUGACGGGGGCCCGCACAAGCGGAGGAGCAUGUGGUUUAAUUCGAUGAUACGCGAGGAACCUUACCUGGGCUUGAAUGUUAGUGACCGGAGCAGAAAUGUUUCUUUCCCGCAAGGGACACAAAACAAGGUGCUGCAUGGCUGUCGUCAGCUCGUGCCG